CGGAGGGUGCGAGCGUUAUCCGGAAUUACUGGGUUUAAAGGGUGCGUAGGCGGCCAGGUAAGUCAGGAGUGAAAGUUUGCGGCUCAACCGUAAAAUUGCUUUUGAUACUGCCAGGCUAGAAUUAGGAUGAGGUCAGCGGAAUGUGGCAUGUAGCGGUGAAAUGCAUAGAUAUGCCAUAGAACACCAAUUGCGAAGGCAGCUGGCUAGACCUGGAUUGACGCUGAGGCACGAAAGCGUGGGGAGCGAACAGGAUUAGAUACCCUGGUAGUCCACGCCCUAAACGAUGCUUACUCGACGUAUGUCGCUAGACGAUGUGCGUCCAAGGGAAACCGUUAAGUAAGCCACCUGGGGAGUACGACCGCAAGGUUG
Molecule: ribosomal RNA, 369 nt
Filed under: uncultured organism
Description: bacterial SSU rRNA
Rfam family: Bacterial small subunit ribosomal RNA
Source: RNAcentral